CAAGGAUGUAGUUACCGCAUGUGUGUGCAUGUGCGUUUGUCUGUGAAUGUCACUGAUAUGACUGCCAGCCACUUCCCCUCUCAACAUGCCCGCAACGAUGCACCUCACUCUGCUGGUGUCCCUGUUAACAGCGACAGUCAUCAGUGAAACCACCACUUCCUCCAGCUCAUCCACUGCACAAACAACCACUAACAAACCAUACUCACAAACAACAAUACUCCAGACUACCACUGAAAGAACAACACAUCCAACCACAGCUGAAACGACAACACAUCCAACUACAGCUGAAACGACAACACAUCCAACUACAGCUGAAACGACAACACAUCCAACUACAGCUGAAACGACAGUGCAGUCCACGACCAUCAUCACUUCGGCUUCACCAAAAACGCAGCAGACAGACGACACCACCCCCAGCCCACCUCCUCAAACCACAGCAAACAACCAGACAUCAAAUGAGACAGCUUUGCCAACUGAAACAACGCUCCCAUCUGCAUCAGCAUCACCAAACAUCACUGCAACCACCACUGUGAACACAACCGACACAGGUUUUUCACCCGACUGGGAAAAAGAUGACCUGGCGUCAAACCCCGGCCUAGUCGCUAUCAUUUGCAUCUUCUGUAUCGUCCUCGCCCUCGUUCUCGUGGUACUCACAGUGAAAUGUAUCCGAUCGCCGAGAUCCAAUUUUGAGAGGCUCGAAGAUAUGCCGAUGGUGAGAUAGAAAACGUGACAGAUAUUCACAGUUCCAGAGGGUGAAUCCUAAUCUUAAUCUUACUGUAGGUCUGGUAUACAUCUUAAAAAUCAGCACUGAAACACACAAAAUGACAAACUUCUUGAAUAUUGUUUCAAGAAUAUAAUUCAUGAGUUUUAGUAUGAGGCUCUGCCUGCUGUAGGUUACUCAUCCCAGCAGGGGGAGGCAGGUGCUGGUUAACACGUAGAAAACAUGGAUUUGCCCGUAACAUGGAUUUGGAGCAAGGCCAACACGUUCCAGGAUUUUGCUUCACGGGGAUGUUAAGUGUCAGCCCCCCACCAUGAGUAACACGUAAAAGUUUCCCAGCAUUAAAUGUCGUCUUCUUCUUGUUCCUGUCUCCUUAGUAAUGAGGACAGUGGUUUCUCAUUUACACGAACAGGAAGUGUGAGUGGAUUGUCUGUGUGUGAAAAGUGUGGUGACUAUUUCUCAAGAGAAGCUUAUCAUUAGAGCCGCAUCAGCGCGUCGCCAGAUAGUUUUAAACUGUUGGCAUAUCUCAAUCUCAGCAGCAAGGGUCUAAUCAAGAAUGGGAUUUCUGAAAAGCAAACCUUCUCUCUCACACUUACGGAGCACUUACAAGUUCAUGUAUGUAUCUAGUGUGCAGAGACAAUAUCACAAAGACUUUUCAGAUGACCCACAAUGAGGCUGCCAAUAUGUGUGAAAUAGAAUAAAAUACUGCUAUUCUGGUAACCGCUGCAAAACAAGACCUGCAGCGCUGUACGGACCAGUGUUCUUUAUAAGGUGUUCUACGAGUGUAAAUCUUUAUUGCUGCAUGACUGGGCAUUGUGCUGGAGUGUACUUUAUACCGUACGAGCUACAUAUCCGACAACAUGAGCUGAAAAACAACUGAUCCUCCAAUAUGAGCAGGUCGGGACUUAAUGAUAACUUGCAGGGUUAAUAAAUGACAAACAAUCCCCUGUAGAAAUCGGAUAAUAUGAUCUAGAUAAUGUCCAUGUAUGACCACAUCCAUGACGCUUUUUUUCUUCACACAUUCUUAGCAAUUUCCUUUUGAUUAUUCCUGACAUUAUGAGAAAAGAGAAUAAGAUAAGUAUGAAACAUUUAAGCUUCCCUUCCCAGGAGUUUCUCAACCUCAUCUUCACAUGGUAAUCCCUUCUCACAUUCACUAAUUUAACAUUUAAAACGGGUAAAAAGACGGUUUUUUCAGAGGCUUGUCUCCGUCAGCUGAUUGUCAGUCCUUAACGUUAAUUACAUUAAUAUACCUAAAGCGGGACCGCAAAGACUUCACCUAUUGUUAAUCUGAACGGGGAAAAGAAUGCCUAUCACUGUAAUCGGAUAAAAGAAAAACAACAGAACACAUUGUACUGUAAAAGAACCACUUUAGUUCAGAUGGUAAAGCAGGUACUGGACAUUCAGUGCAGGCACUUUAUCACCACGCUGACUGCUGGUUAACUAUGAAUGGGUUGUUUGUUUUCUGUGAACUCUCAGGGCAAAGUGAAUGAGGAGUCUCCGUUCGCCCACUACUCGAAAUGACAGAAUGCCCUUGUGGACGCCGAAGGCCCGGGACGGGUCCAACCUGCCGAACGACUCUGACAUCAUCAGGCUCGGCUUUACGUAGCACUUUAUUCAAUGCCAGUGAAAUAUUUUGGCCUCAUUCAUUUUGGUUUUAAUUAAGUGUAAUCAGCUAACUACAACUGUCGCUUCCUCCAUAGUAAAAUCUGAAAAUCAGCCUGAAAGGUAAACCUUCAUACAUAACGCUUGCUAAACUGGUGACAUGUAUAAUCUUGUAAGCACUACAACUCAGAUUUACACUGGUGAUUUAAUAAGAGUGCAGAUUUCGAUUUUACAUAACGCUUUAACAAAGUCAUAACUGGAAUGUACAAGUGUACAAAUGUGAUCUUAUCUGGAGUGGCAUAUAUGAUGUAUGAAUUGUGGGGUCUGAGGUCUUCUGUGCAAGCAAAGCUCAGACGCAAAAAGUCACAGUGCUGAGCACAUGUUUUAGACCACCGGCCAGUGUAAGGUUUAUGCCAUAGCUGUUAUAAAUUAACAAUUCUGGUACUUACCAAAAUCAUUUUUUAAUGAUUCUGUAAUAGUUAAACCACCAGUGUGCUCUUAAAUUAAGAUCAUAUUUUUAAUGCUAAAAUAUAAAUAUUGUUGUUAUAAAAAUAGAAUAAAAAGAGUAAAGGCAUCAUUAGUUUAUGAUUAAAUUAACUUUGAUUAAAACCUACUUACUUGCAUUCUUGAACAGAACAAUUACUGCUUGAACGUCAUGCUUGAUUAAUUUCUGACUUCCUACAGACAUCCUCAGUGUUUUAAACUUGUUUUAAAUGAGCUUUUUGGCACAGUUCAAAAAUAUUUUUCUUUUGUUUUUCUAAUAGCAGGUAGUCUAAUAAAUGUGUUAUGCACUGGAAAUAUCAGAAAAACUGUGGGGCCACUGACAGAAUCUUUAUGGUUAAAACACUAAACAAUAGGCUCAUGUUCUUAUUACUGAUAGAAAAAAUACUUGUGUAUUUGUAUGCACUAAAACAGGUACCGCUAAUUAUUUCUAUGUUCACUCUAAAAUUAAUAUCAGGCCAUUCACAUUAGUCACAUCAGAAAUGUUUCCAGGUUCAGGAAAAUCUCGGGACUCAUUUCCAACAAAAACACGUGCAAUUCUACUUUGUCUUGCUAAUCUUGAUGAAUGUAAACAGAUUUGCUUAUGCUUAUAAACAGAUUCAAAUAUAGAAUUGGAUCCUUUCUGCUUUAAAUGCCUUAAUAAUUAAUAUCCCUGAGCUAGCCUGCACAAAAAUGAUAAAAGUCAUAUUUCUAGACAUUUUAAUUGUGGCUCAAAGUAACUUUUUUCAUGAAAUGCUGUCACACUGAGUCUGUGUGGCAAAUCUGCUAUCCUACACUCAAUUUUGCAGUGACUUGAAUGCUUUCCUGCCAUUUCAACAAAAUGAUUUAAUAAGUCAGUGUUUUGUAAAUCGGGACGAUGACAUGCUGUGUACCAACUACAUAAUUGUGAUGUUUUAAUGAAAAUAAAAACCUUGAUGUGGUGUUUUUCACUUUCCUGUAAUGUGUCCCUUGUUGCUACCUCAGGUUAAGAUUACGUAAACCUUUUACCCAGCCAGUUAUCUGGAAAACCCCACCAGCAACUUCCUUUAACCUACGUCUUCAGCUAUGUACCAACAUGCCAGAGCUCCUCAGACACAUGACUCACACUCCAAAGAUAAAGAGAAACAUCUCCAGGGCUCGAAGGUGAGGAUUACCCAAAAAGGCCAUGACUAUUUAAGAGGACUGGCGAUUGAGGCUAAACCAAAUGAGCGUCUGGAUAAGAAUGUGACUGGGACCUCAUUACCAAGACAUCCUGCCAAUGAAAAUAUAAAUGGGCUACAUGAAAGUGUGACCACUCAAGCGGUUUUGUUUGUAUUAGAACUGUAAAUGAU
Molecule: long non-coding RNA, 4131 nt
Organism: Astatotilapia calliptera (eastern happy)
Lineage: Eukaryota; Metazoa; Chordata; Actinopteri; Cichliformes; Cichlidae
Source: Ensembl